Molecule: transfer RNA, 60 nt
Filed under: Cyrtodactylus sp. COK-2020
Lineage: Eukaryota; Metazoa; Chordata; Lepidosauria; Squamata; Gekkonidae
Description: tRNA-Cys
Source: RNAcentral
AGCCCCGACGAGCGCCAAAGUGCAAAUUUGGAGACGCACCCCAACAGGUGCCGGGGCUUC